Molecule: long non-coding RNA, 191 nt
Organism: Austrofundulus limnaeus
Lineage: Eukaryota; Metazoa; Chordata; Actinopteri; Cyprinodontiformes; Rivulidae
Exons: 3
Source: RefSeq, a predicted model, not a curated record
GCGGCAGUGUGCUGAAAGAUUGCCAAAAUGGCUGAACAAAGACAAAUUCCUGAAGAAAUGCAGGAAUUACUGCGGCAAAUGCACCGAACCACAACUCUGAUCCUGGAGAGGGUGGUUCAAUUUCCAUCUCCAGCACAAAAUUCCAGCCCUGCACCUGAGAGAAGUUGUAUCUCUUCUGUCCCUACUGUGUC